Molecule: long non-coding RNA, 2385 nt
Filed under: Malus domestica (apple)
Lineage: Eukaryota; Viridiplantae; Streptophyta; Magnoliopsida; Rosales; Rosaceae
Description: long non-coding RNA (MDOM_LNC020398)
Source: RNAcentral
UUUGAUUACAUCCAGUUGUGAUUCAUAAGUUGUGAAUUCAAUUUACUUAUCCGUUCAUAUAAAAACUGAUUUGUGUAUGUUGGUUGAGAGUGCACGCUUAAUUUUCAUGCAUGAAUUUGACGCUAGAAUAUAAGGGAGUUUCACCUAAUUGUUAUGAACUUAUAUUCACAAGUAGUGAAGGUUGCUAGUCACAAUCACGUUAAGUAAAUUCUUGGCAUAAGUUUCAUGCAAAUCAUAGUAACGAGUGCCUCGUCAAUGCUUAUGUUUUUCAUAAAACUUAAUGAUUCUUGCUUGUAUCUCUAUUAUGCAAUUCAUGUAGGGAACUUGUAGGGAAUGUUUUGGGUUGUCGUAUGCAAUCAUCCAACCCAAUAACUUGUGGAAAAACUGAGGGUUAAUUAGUGCAAUUCACGGUUAAUUUGGGCCGUUGAGUAUUCAUAGUUUAUCGAAAAGCAACUGAAAAUCGUUUUGUAUGCAAGUGUGACAUGUGUGGAGAAGAACCUCCUAGCUAGCCUUCCAUCCAUAAGUUUCAUUCAAAUUCAUUUACAAUCUGUUUUGUUUUACAAGUUUGUUUUGUUUUCAAAUUCGUCAAGAACCAAUCUCCCAUUUAUUUCAAAGUGUUAGAUUAGUUAGUAAUCACUUUAGUUUGUGUUUUUAAGUGUCUUGAGUCAAGUCAUAACCCAAUUUCGUCCAAUUUAGUGUUAGGUGUUCAAAACUGCCCAGAAAGUGUUUUUAAGGCAGUUUUGAGUGUUUAUUUGCUGUUUUGAAUCUUUUUGUUUAUCUUAGUAUUUUAAAGUAUAGUUUUGCAUUCUUUGAGUGUAGUUUAGUGUUGUAAACUUUGUUUUUACGUUUUCAAGUCAGUUUCCAAGUGAUUUAGCAAUCCCUCCUAAUCCCGGGCCUAGAACGAUCCCUACUUACAUACUUUACUACAUUUGAUAAAAAGAGGGUUUAAUUUGUGUGUUAAGUUAAUUUUCGCAUCAAUAUCGCGUCAAAACGGUAGAUUAAAUAAACACUUAUGAGUUAAUAUUAUACUUCCAUUAACUAGUGUAAAUAUUUUAAAUUGAAGAUCAAAUUUAUUCAUUGCAUUCUUAUAGGGUUGAGGAGUAUAGCUGCAAAAAAUCAUUAAAAUCAAAGCUAAAAUAACUGUUAAAUUAUAAUUUUUCAUUUAUAACCGUCGAAAAAAAUCAUUUAUAUAUGUUAAAUCAGAGCUAAAAUCUUUGAAUGUUUGUUUUUUACAAUUUUUUACGUAUGCAAUCUCGGAGUGUGUACAAAUAAGUUUUAUGGUUGGAUCGUUGAAAAAAGUUUCGUAGAAUGCAUAUCGCAUCAAAACGGUAGAUUAAACAAACACUUAGAGUUAAUAUUAUACUUCCAUCAAGUAUAAAGUAAGAUUAGUGUAAAUAUUUUAAAUUGAAGAUCAAAUUUAUUCAUUGCAUUCUUAUAGGAUCGAGGAGUGUAGCUGUAAAAAAUCAUUGAAAUCGGAGCUAAGAUAACCGUUAAAUUGUGAUUUUUCGUUUAUAACCGUUGAAAACUUUUGUUCUGUUACGUAAUCUCUGAAUGUUUAUUUUUACAAUUUUUUUACGUAUGCAAUCUUGGAGUGUGUACAAAUAAGUUUGACGAUUGGAUCGUUGAAAAAAGUUUUGUAGAAUUCUUGGAUGCACUUGCUACCCAAGUUGGAGCAUUUUAGGUGUUUUCUUUCCUUUGAUUUUAAUGUCUAAUUUUAUGUAUCUUUGCUUUGUGAGUAUGAGGAACUAAACCCCUCUUAGUUAGGGGGUGAUUCGAAACCAUGUUCAUACUUGCAAUAUGAUUUGAUUACAUCCAGUUGUGAUUCAUAAGUUGUGAAUUCAAUUUACUUAUCCGAUCGUAUAAAAAAUGAUUUGUGUAUGUUGGUUGAGAGUGCACGCUUAAUUUUCAUGCAUGAAUUUAACGCUAGAAUAUAAGGGAGUUUCACCUAAUCGUUAUGAACUUAUAUUCACAAGUAGUGAAGGUUGCUAGUCACAAUCACGUUAAGUAAAUUCUUGGCAUAAGUUUCAUGCAAAUCAUAGUAACGAGUGCCUCGUCAAUGCUUAUGUUUUUCAUAGAACUUAAUGAUUCUUGCUUGUAUCUCUAUUAUGCAAUUCAUGUAGGGAACUUGUAGGGAAUGUUUUGGGUUGUCGUAUGCAAUCAUCCAAUCCAAUAACUUGUGGAAAAACUGAGGGUUAAUUAGUGCAAUUCACGGUUAAUUUGGGGCGUUGAGUAUUCAUAGCUUAUCGAAAAGCAACUGGAAAUCGUUUUGUAUGCAAGUGUGACAUGUGUGGAGAAGAACCUCCUAGCUAGCCUUCCAUCCAUAAGUUUUGUUGAUGCACAAAAUCAGCGAAGACUUUGGUACAACAGAAAGUGUCAGGUUUUAUG